Molecule: long non-coding RNA, 1337 nt
Filed under: Dermacentor andersoni
Lineage: Eukaryota; Metazoa; Arthropoda; Arachnida; Ixodida; Ixodidae
Description: uncharacterized LOC126544514
Source: RNAcentral
AAGCCCUUUACAUGCAGUGGAGCCGCCGUAUCUCGCCGUUCAAGAUAUGCGUACUCGUAAGUGGCAUUUUAAUUUCACGUUGUGUAAUGCAUGACUGUCUUUUUCAAGUGAACAAAGGUCGCUUUGUAUUGUGUAAAUGGUUUUGCAACGUAUGAUAAACUCCUUGUCUUUCGGGCUUAUUUUUUCUGACAGGAAGAAAAAAAAAAGAGGCUUUACAUGAGAACGGAUCAAGCGUUCGAGAGUUGGGACAGGGAAAUGUGAGACGUACUUUCAUGUAUAUAUUUCUAAUAUUAUUUUUUCGUCUUGUAUUCUCGUUAAUUUUUCUCUAGGAAACACUGCAACGACACUGCUUAAAUUGAAGCACAGUGUGCGAAUGACCUGCUACGCUCGGAACUGUUAUCACCAUUCGGGAAGAAAUUGGAUGAAAAAACAUAACUGUAAAUACCUGUAUGAUAUACGUCUGGUGCAUUGCAGGUAAGAAUGGAUUGUGUGUGGCGCGCUUCACCGCAUGUGGACUAUAGUAGAUCUAAGAACAUCAGACAAGAAGACACGUAUGUGAAACCCUGCGGAUAGCCCAUAUGUAAGUUCUUCCUCAAUUUUUCUUUUGUUGCAUUUUCGUAGUUUACGUGUAAUACUUUGUCACCGCGGUCUCGACGUUAUGUAUACCUAUACAUUUGUCUCGUGGCAGUCUGCGUGCUAUUUUGUUUGUGCAACUAUGUGUUGUAUUCAUUUAUCGCGCUGCCUGGAUGGUUUUUUUUUUUUCACUGAUAUUCCGACCAAAGUCGGUAAACCUAUCCUUCCUGUCCUCAUGUUUCCUUGGGCGGCUCUAAAACGUAUCUUAGAGGAAUAUUUAGCUUCAGAUUCCCGCAUGGAACAGAUGGUGAACUUUUUUUCCAGAUACGGAGGAACGGACACCGGUCGUGCCGUGAGCACUAUUCUGCAGGGCAUACUUACAAAUGAAGCUGCACUGCAGUUCAGCUGGAAAGGGUCGCAGGGGAGGAAGCACGCCUUCGUGAAGCUCAUGGCCAUCACGAAUAUAACAUCUGUGAGGAGCACGUUCCCUGACGCUUCACUAGCAUCAGUGGCUGGAGUCGCAAAACGCUGGUUGGUUGGAGCAGCUGACAGGGAUGGAGGCCGGAAUGAAAGGCGCCGUGACCCUGCUUCAAGCCCACCAAAUAUGAACUAGUGUUUGAAACUUGUGAACGUGUCGGUGUACAUAUACAAUUACAAGAAAUAAAGACCUGUAUCAGAAUCUUUUGCCUGGCAUUUAUGUGGCAUGAAAAGUACAAAAAAGCGUUCGCUUUCGUGUGGUACUUCUAUGCCGGCCACCACACAAG